Molecule: long non-coding RNA, 1816 nt
Organism: Coffea eugenioides
Lineage: Eukaryota; Viridiplantae; Streptophyta; Magnoliopsida; Gentianales; Rubiaceae
Exons: 5
Source: RefSeq, a predicted model, not a curated record
AUGUUUUGCAGUAAUAUCUUUCCAAUUUCAUAGAAUGUAGUGCACGGUGAUAUUACAGCUGAUAAUCUCUUGGUAGUUGCUUUUGGGAUUGUGAAGAUUGGUGAUUUUAGUGUUAGUCAGGUUGUUAAGAUUGUUAAUAACCCCUUGUAUAUCCCUAAUGGAAUGCAUUCCCCUGCUAAAGGACUUGAUUGAGGGGCUUUUCUACAAAGCUAUAUGAUAGAAGAAGAGUGAACAACAACUGAUGGCAGCAUCAUUUUGUUUUGGGAAUUUUAGUUGUGCAUCAAUUCUGCCGUUAGUUGCUCCUCCAUACAUAGAGAUACCAUGCAAAAAGCCCAGCCUAAAUGGAUGUGUAAUCAACUACAAUUGCUGAUGUAUUCUAACCUGUUGUAUAAUACAUGUGCUGUUCAACUGCUUAUCUUUUAAGGUAAACAAUUAUGUUAAAAAUUACAAAGCAUUAGCAUAUUAACAAACAUUUUGUUGCUUUUGUACUCCAUUAAAUGCCUGUUGAUUGGACAUUGCCAUGUGAGAGAGGCUUCUAUCUACAACAACUACUGCUUUGAGCAAUGUUAAGCUUUUAAAUAAAAGUAAAUCUGCAUUGACUGCUUGGCAGUGGCAGCAUUCCUUUUAUUUUUGUCUCAUAUACAGUAAUUUCUACUCUCUAAGCAAAUGUUACCAACUAGCAGUUGGGGGAAUAUUAGCUAUCGAUUGGAUUAUGGUUAGAGUAAAUGAGGUUUCUAAGAUUAAAUUACUCCAUUACUCCCCAGGUACAUAACAAAGUAGAACCUGUGAAUGUCAGUUUGCAAUUUUGAAUUAGUAUUAUACACUUGGAGAGUGGAUAUGAUUUACUUUGACAUGAAACGGGUAACUUUUUGUUAGUAGUAUCAUACAUGUUGUGUCAACCUUUUUUGCCGCUAACAUAACAUUCUGCUACAAGGUUUCAGGAGCCUUGUCCUUGCCACAUCCUAAUAGUAUUUUGAAAUCAUGUAACGAGUGUUUAGAGAAGCAACAAUAAGAAAUAGAUAAGAAGCUGAAAUGAAACAGGGGAUAGUAUGGAGCAUUUCUGUCCUUGAUAAGGCUCUGUAGUAGUUUUGCUAAAAGGUCCAAGUUCUCUGUAGGACUUGUUACCUGACAUAUUUUAGUUUUGCUCAUAGCAUGUUGAGCUUCCUCUUGAAUUUGUUCAUGAGCGACUCAAAACAAAGACAUUUCUGAUGCAUAUCAAAUUAGUGCAAACACAAUUAGCAGAUGUAAGGUAGCACUACACAGUGAUAUAGUAUUCUGCGACUAAUGACAUUUCCACUUCUGUCCAGUUAGCAAGUAGCGCAAAAAAUGACUCUCACUUUGCCAUCAAGCUAAGAUUGUGGAGCUCAACUCCAAGUACAUGAACACUCAAUUGAACUUGUAAUACACAUUUGUCUUUUCCUAAAAGCAAAUUGCUGGAAAACUCAUGACUGCAAGAGAAGCGAAUGGUUCUUUAAAAGUUUGUCCUUGACUUGCUAAAAAGUUCGAUGAUACAGAUAAUGUAGAAGGAGAUGACUCUUAAAAUAUGGACAGCUACUCCACCAAGAAAACAAGAUUAAGCUGAAUUCAUACUAUUCAACUUUUGUACAACUCGAACUUGAUACUUUUUGCCUUCUUGAUUUGCCAUUCUGGAUUUGGCAUAUUGCUUAGAACUUUUUGAAUGGAUUAUUGCUAUAUCUAUGAAUUGUGUACAUUUGUGUGUGGUUAUCCAUUAGGCGACUUUUGUAGCAGAGGUUGAACUAUGUUUGGUCUCAACUUUGUAUCAAUUCGUUCAGAGGACUUUGCUCCACCUCGAUUA